AGAGUUUGAUCCUGGCUCAGGAUGAACGCUGGCGGCGUACCUAACGCAUGCAAGUCGAACGGGGAAAUUUAGCAAUAGAUUUUCCAGUGGCAAACGGGUGAGUAACACGUAGGGAUCUACCUUGGGGUGGGGAACAACGGACCGAAAGGUUCGCUAAUACCGCAUGGGGUCGUGAGACCAAAGGAUUUUCGCAAGAGAAUUCGCCCUGAGAGGAGCCUGCGAUCGAUCAGGUAGUUGGUGAGGUAACGGCUCACCAAGCCGAUGACCGAUAGCUGUUCUGAGAGGAAGAUCAGCCACACUGGGACUGUGACACGGCCCAGACUCCUACGGGAGGCAGCAGCGAGGAAUAUUGCACAAUGGAGGAAACUCUGAUGCAGUAACGCCGCGUGGGGGAAGAAGACCUUCGGGUUGUAAACCUCUUUUAUGGAGGACGAGUGAGGACGUACUCCAGAAUC
Molecule: ribosomal RNA, 455 nt
Filed under: uncultured bacterium
Lineage: Bacteria
Description: bacterial SSU rRNA
Rfam family: Bacterial small subunit ribosomal RNA
Source: RNAcentral